AGAGUUUGAUCCUGGCUCAGAUUGAACGCUGGCGGAAUGCUUUACACAUGCAAGUCGAACGGCAGCACGGGAGCUUGCCCCUGGUGGCGAGUGGCGAACGGGUGAGUAACACAUCGGAACAUGCCUAGUCGUGGGGGAUACCGUAGCGAAAGUUACGUUAAUACCGCAUACGUCCUGAGGGAGAAAGCAGGGGAUCGAUCACUGAGCGCAUUGACGCAGUCAAUAAAGCUGCUUAGUGCAUUGAGUGAUCGACCUUGCGCGAUUAGAGUGGCCGAUGGCUGAUUAGCUAGUUGGUGGGGUAAAGGCCUACCAAGGCGACGAUCAGUAGCGGGUCUGAGAGGAUGAUCCGCCACACUGGAACUGAGACACGGUCCAGACUCCUACGGGAGGCAGCAGUGGGGAAUUUUGGACAAUGGGGGCAACCCUGAUCCAGCCAUUCCGCGUGAGUGAAGAAGGCCUUCGGGUUGUAAAGCUCUUUCAGCGGGAACGAAACGGUGCGCUCUAACAUAGCGUAUUAAUGACGGUACCCGCAGAAGAG
This 538-nucleotide ribosomal RNA is filed under the name uncultured bacterium. RNAcentral describes it as "bacterial SSU rRNA". It matches the Rfam family "Bacterial small subunit ribosomal RNA", at positions 8 to 489 of the family's 1533-position model. The record is from RNAcentral.